Molecule: ribosomal RNA, 252 nt
Filed under: uncultured bacterium
Lineage: Bacteria
Description: partial 16S ribosomal RNA
Rfam family: Bacterial small subunit ribosomal RNA
Source: RNAcentral
UACGUAGGGGGCGAGCGUUGUCCGGAGUUACUGGGCGUAAAGCGUCCGCAGGCGGUGCGGCAAGUUCGAGGUGACAGUGCGCGGCUUAACUGCGCAAGGUCCUUGAAAACUGCCGCACUUGAGGGCUUCAGAGGGACCCGGAAUUCCGGGUGGAGUGGUGAAAUGCGUAGAGAUCCGGAGGAACACCAAAGGCGCAGGCAGGGUCCUGGGAAGCCACUGACGCUCAUGGACGAAAGCUAGGGGAGCGAACGG